GAAAGGAAGAAAAGCUUGGUUUUGUAAUUCAAGCAAGCUAAGCUUGAUGAUUAAUGUUUUGAAGGAAUAUUGGAGUGCAAGUACGGGUCAAGCAACCAUAAAGGAAGUGCAACAGUAAAGGUAGCUAUUAUGGUGGUGUGCUCGGGGAAAUAACAAGCGACCGACAAGUAGGAAUAUCUAGAUAUGC
Non-coding RNA from Theobroma cacao (cacao), 187 nucleotides. NCBI's taxonomy places the organism in Eukaryota, Viridiplantae, Streptophyta, Magnoliopsida, Malvales, Malvaceae. The record is from RefSeq and is a predicted model, not a curated record.